AGGCCUUGGGGUUGAAACAACCUUAACCUAUUCUCAAACUUUAAAUAUGUAAGAAGCCCUUGUUGCUUAAUUGAACGUGGGCAUUAGAAUGAUGCGUUACUAGUGGGCCAUUUUUGGUAAGCAGAACUGGCGAUGCGGGAUGAACCGAACGCGAGGUUAAGGUGCCGGAAUACACGCUCAUCAGACACCACAAAAGGUGUUAGUUCAUCUAGACAGCAGGACGGUGGCCAUGGAAGUCGGAACCCGCUAAGG
Molecule: ribosomal RNA, 252 nt
Filed under: Phaeocystis cordata
Lineage: Eukaryota; Haptophyta; Phaeocystales; Phaeocystaceae
Description: partial Eukaryotic large subunit ribosomal RNA
Rfam family: Eukaryotic large subunit ribosomal RNA
Source: RNAcentral